This 607-nucleotide small RNA is filed under the name Arabidopsis thaliana (thale cress). Its description in RNAcentral is "ATSL280700". Lineage: Eukaryota; Viridiplantae; Streptophyta; Magnoliopsida; Brassicales; Brassicaceae. The record is from RNAcentral.
UUAAAUCUUUUAAAAACUCUUGUACAUCUUUUAAAACCCUUUAAAAUCCCUUGUAAUUCUAUUGAAACACUUUUAAACCCUUUAAAAAUCUUUAAAAAACUCUUGUAAGUCUUUUAAAGCCCUCUAAAAUCUCUUGUAAAUCUUUUAAAACCCUUUUAAAAUCUCUUGUAAAUCUUUUAAACCCUUUUAAAAUCUUUUGUAAAUCGUUUAAAAUAUUUUUAAACCCUUUUAAUAUCCCUUGUAAAUCUAUUUUCCGCCAAAAAAAAAUUUUACGGGAAAAAUGUUUUCGAAAAUGUUUUUUGGCGGGAAAUUUUUUUUCGAAAAUUUUUGGCGGGAAAUUUUGUUUUGGAAUAAUUUAGGCGCAAAAUAUUAAUAUUUCAUUUUGUUAACGUAAAUCAAUUUACAAAUAGGGGUAAAAUGGUCAUUAAAAAUUUAAAUAGGGUAUAAAUGAAAAUGGUAAAUAGAAAAGGGUAGAAUUGAAAAGGGGUAGUGUGAAAAGGGCAUUAGAAAGAAUUUUUCUAAAAUUAAACCUGAUAAAACCCGACGCAUUUGAAUUAGAUCAUUAAAGCUCAAAUUUCAAACAUUAACGACGAAAAUGUUUAUAUAG